Molecule: signal recognition particle RNA, 307 nt
Filed under: Triticum aestivum (bread wheat)
Lineage: Eukaryota; Viridiplantae; Streptophyta; Magnoliopsida; Poales; Poaceae
Description: SRP RNA Plant_SRP
Rfam family: Plant signal recognition particle RNA
Source: Rfam by way of RNAcentral
GCCGAGCUCAUUAGCGGGAGCUUGUAACCCGAGCGGGGGGCUUUAAGGUGGUGUGAACGUUGCCGUAGCGCUGUGGGCCUGGCCCGGUUGUGCUUCUGCUGGUCCCGCCCGUUCCAAGUUGGUAGUGGACCCGCUUGGGGCCUGUGCGAAAGCUAGGCGUCACGGGCUAUAAUGCGGCAGGCAUUGCGUGAGGCUGGUUUAACAGAGCAGCGAAAACUGCCCGCCUUCAACGGUGGAAGGAUAACGGGCCGGCUGCAUAACUGGGCCGCUUGGGUCUCCCAGCCUACUCCAACGAACCACUAUCUUU